RNAcentral lists this long non-coding RNA (529 nucleotides) under Bos indicus x Bos taurus (hybrid cattle). RNAcentral's name for it is "lncRNA (ENSBIXG00005029594.1)". Lineage: Eukaryota; Metazoa; Chordata; Mammalia; Artiodactyla; Bovidae. The record is from RNAcentral.
UGCUGGGAAAGAUUGAAGGCGGGAGGAGAAGGGGACAAUAGAGGAUGAGAUGGUUGGAUGGCAUCAGUGACUCAAUGGACCCCAUGACUCAAUGGACAUGAGUUUGAGCAAGCUCUGGGGGUUGGUGAUAGACAGGAAACCUGGCAUGCUGCAGUCCAUGGGGUCACAAAGAGUCGGACAUGACUGAGCGACUGAACUGACUGAACUGAUGGAGUGGAGGUGUCCCCUCUGACCUUUCUACCCCUCUUUUGUUCUUCAACAGAAAGAUUCCACUAAGGCAGCUGGGAAGAUUACACAAAGCAGAGUUGACUUGAGUUUCCAGUCUGGCAUCUGUGCUUCCCAAAGAGUCAUCCUUAUGUCAUCUGGUCCUCUGCCCUUUUGAAACCAGAUCUCAGGGUCAAAAGAAGUCUGAUAUCAUUCAGAUUCUCCCUGUCAUGAGACUGAUGCCAACUCAGUCACCUCAAGCAGGUGAGACACUCUUUAACAGCAUCUCCAGGGGAGGGCAGUGCACCUCAGCCUUUGUAACUUA